CACGUAGGGCGCAAGCGUUGUCCGGAAUUAUUGGGCGUAAAGAGCUCGUAGGCGGACUGUCACGUCUGCUGUGAAAAGCUGGGGCUUAACCCUGGCCUUGCAGUGGAUACGGGCAGACUAGAGGUAGGUAGGGGAGAAUGGAAUUCCCGGUGUAGCGGUGAAAUGCGCAGAUAUCGGGAGGAACACCGGUGGCGAAGGCGGGUCUCUGGGCCGAUACUGACGCUGAGGAGCGAAAGCGUGGGGAGCGAACAGG
RNAcentral lists this ribosomal RNA (253 nucleotides) under uncultured bacterium. RNAcentral's name for it is "partial 16S ribosomal RNA". It matches the Rfam family "Bacterial small subunit ribosomal RNA", at positions 524 to 776 of the family's 1533-position model. The record is from RNAcentral.